GAUGAACGCUGACCGAAUGCUUAACACAUGCAAGUCAACUUGAACUUCGGUUUGGGUGGCGGACGGGUGAGUAACGCGUAAAGAACUUGCCUCACAGCUAGGGACAACAUUUGGAAACGAAUGCUAAUACCUGAUAUUAUGAUUUUAGGGCAUCCUAGAAUUAUGAAAGCUAUAUGCGCUGUGAGAGAGCUUUGCGUCCCAUUAGCUAGUUGGAGAGGUAACGGCUCACCAAGGCGAUGAUGGGUAGCCGGCCUGAGAGGGUGAACGGCCACAAGGGGACUGAGACACGGCCCUUACUCCUACGGGAGGCAGCAGUGGGGAAUAUUGGACAAUGGACCAAGAGUCUGAUCCAGCAAUUCUGUGUGCACGAUGAAGUUUUUCGGAAUGUAAAGUGCUUUCAGUUGGGAAGAAAAAAAUGACGGUACCAACAGAAGAAGUGACGGCUAAAUACGUG
RNAcentral lists this ribosomal RNA (454 nucleotides) under uncultured bacterium. Its description in RNAcentral is "partial 16S ribosomal RNA". It matches the Rfam family "Bacterial small subunit ribosomal RNA", at positions 28 to 507 of the family's 1533-position model. The record is from RNAcentral.